RNAcentral lists this long non-coding RNA (3046 nucleotides) under Sus scrofa (pig). RNAcentral's name for it is "lncRNA (ENSSSCG00030049781.1)". The record is from RNAcentral. Lineage: Eukaryota; Metazoa; Chordata; Mammalia; Artiodactyla; Suidae.
ACUCUGUCUCCACCAGCACCCUGGCAGCCCCUUGAGGAUUGGAAUGUGCCUGGAGGACUUCACGGUUUAAGGGGGUAACACAGCCAUGUAAAAAGCAGUGACGCUCAUGGGGCCUGGCCCUAAUGGGGGAUUUCACCAUCACAACAAUCCUACAAAGUGCUAUUCUUAUUCCCAUUUUACAGAUGCGGCAACUGAGGGUGAGUCACUUGCCCACAAGGAGCCAGGGCUCAAACCAGGUGGUCUGAUUCUAGAUCCUGUGCUCUUAUAACCAAGCAGGACCCUGUAAGGCCUUCCCAGAGUGGACCCCCACACCUAUCCUCCCCCUGCCUUUUUUAUCUAUAGAAAAACUUUAGUCAAAGAACCAGUUUAAUCAGGGAAGGGAAAAAACACAGAGAAAAAAAGAAAAUGGUAAUAAUUCAGCCAUUCCACAAAGUCAAGGACCUUCAGUUCUUCAACGACUACAGGUAAUAUUCUGAGCCAUGUCCUUGAAGCUGUUUUGCAGGUGCUGAAGUCCCCACCGGUGGAAGCAGUCAACUGUAUGCUGCCCACAAGCACGUAGACCCCAGACCUUUCGAACCAGAAGGCUGACGAUGCUGACUCGCAAUUACCUCGCCACCCACCAAUCCAGAACAUGGCCACGAGCUGAUCAUGCCCUACUCUUCAAACACUAUAAGACCGCCCACUACCCUAAGGGGGUACAGUCUUUGAGGCACUAGCCUGCUGUGUUCCCCUCUUUGCCUGGCAAUUAAACCUGGUUCCUCCAACUCUGUCUCCGCAUCUUUCUUCGGCCUCGGUGUACAGAAGCAGCCGAGAUUUCGGCAACACUCUUGGCUUCUAGCCUGCCUCUCAAAUAAAGAUGAUGGAGAGCACUUCGCCAAGAGGCACAGAAAGGUUAUGUUUCAGGCCUGAGGGAGCUGGAAGAGGAAAUUCUGCCUAAACAGGGUCGGGAGCUUCCCUUUGCUCGUAAAUUAAUGAGUUCCAAGGCAGAGGAGGCAAUCAACAUGUACCAAUGGACAGGCAGCACAAGGAGAGAGCAGCAGAGAGCGGAUGGCAUUCAAAGCGAUGCAAAGAAGUUUCUGGACAUCCUAGAGGAGCAGGAGGAGAGGACACUGGACUGUGGCUCCAUAGCUGAAGUGUCAGCAUUAAGUCUUGUUGCUGCAAGACGCAUUUCCAAUCUGCAGCCCUGGUUCUAAGCACUAAACACUUGGCCACCUUAACAUAUGUAAUCAAAGUACUCUCUUUUUUCUUCUUCUUUUUUGGCCGCCCUGUGGCAUGUGGAGUUCCCAGGCCAGGGAUCAGACCCAAGACGCAGUGGUGACCCACGCCAAAGCUACAGCAACACGAGAUCCUAACCCGCGGUGUCAGGCCAGGAUCAAAUCUCCCUGCUCUGACCCAUCUUCUUGGAGAGCCAGAUUCUGUUCUGAGCCCUACGAGCCGUGCCACCUGUGGUCUUGGUUUCUCUGCCCCAUGCCGACAACACCCCCAAUCCAGCCUGUAUUCUGCUUAUGCUGGUCGCCAGACUCCUCUUGGACGCUUCUCCUGCGGCUGCGUGUCCCACUGCCCAGGGCUGGCUGGUCCUCUGAUUGCCGGCGAGCUCGGCUGAUCAAAGCAGCCGCCACACUUUCCCACGUGGUGUGACCCGCAUGUCCAGACCUGCCCCCGCAGCUGCAGCAAAAGCCCUCUGCCUCCCCUGCUUCACACUUGCAGCUCUGUCUCCUCUCUAGAUCUGGACUUCUUGGUCUGGCUCAAGGCAAGAGGAGACAGAAAAUGACAAAAAGCAGAAGAGGGAAGGGCAGAAGUAACGGGCUCUUUUGCCAAAUAUCUGCAAGGCCUGUUCCCAUGAUUCAUGCAGGUCUCUGCUCAAAUGUCAUCCCAUCAAAGGCCUCCCCACCUCACGCUCCCCAUCCCCACUGCCUGCUCCUGUAUCCUACCUUUUUUGUUUGUAUUCUUUACCUGCUGUUAUAUUCUAGUUGUAUACUUAAACAUUAUUGUCAGGGUCCUCCCAUGCAGAAGGCAGGAAGUUUGUUUUUACUCAUUGCCGCAUAUCUGGCACAUAAUAAUCCCUCAAUAAAUAGUGGUAAGCUAAAUGAGAACGGCAUUCUCACAGAGCUGACAUCCAGAGGGAGAAGACUCGUAACAGCUGAUAUGUACAAAGAUCUCUCAGGAAAUCAAGGCAGGGAAGUAUUUCUUUUUUCUUAGGAUUAAAUGAGACGUUCAGAAAACCUUUAACAAAGUUUCUAGAACAAGGCAAACCUCCCCCCCCCCCACCAUGUUAGCUACUAUUCUAGAAAACACUCUAGAAAAAUGUACAUGAUUUGGUUAAAACUUCCUUAUCAGGAACACCCAGCUCCUUUCCUGAGAGUUUCCGAUAGCUGAAACUUUCCUGGGGAAAUAGGGGGGUGUGGUCGGUGCCAUCUGAAACUGAAAAUAUCCUUUUAGUCCAACAGAGGCCUUUUAUUUUAUUUUAUUUUGGUCUUUUUAGGGCCGCACCUGGCAUAUGGAGGUUGCCAGGCUACGGGUCAAAUCGGAGCCAUAGCCGCCGUCCUACGCCACAGCCACAGCAACGCCAGAUCUAAGACACAUUCACAACCCACAUGGCAGCUCAUAGCCAUGCCAGACCCUUAACCCACAGAGCGAGGCCACGGAUGGAACCUGCAACCUUAUGGAUACUAGUUGGGUUCUUAACCCCCUGAGCCAAAAGGCGAACUCCUAAACAGAGGCCAUUUUAUUUAUUUUAUAUUUUGCUUUUUUUUAGGGCUCCACUCAUGGCAUGUGGAAGUUCCCAGGAGGCUGAGGGUUGAAUCGGAGGUGUAGCUGCCGGCCUACGCCACAGCCACAGCAAUGCAGGAUCCGAGCUGCAUCGGCGACCUACGUAGCUCACGGCAAUGUUGGAUCCUUAACCCACUGAGUGGGGCCAGGAAUCGAACCCAUAUCCUCAUGGAUACUAGCCGGAUUUGUUUCUGCUGAGCUACAACAGGAACUCCCCAGAGGCCAUUUUAAAUACAGGUGUUGGAGUUCCCGUCGUGGCACAGUGGUUAACGAAUCU